GCCUGGGUGGCUCAGUCAGUAAAGCAUCUGACUUUGGAUGGGGCCAUGAUCUCAUGGUUUGUGGGUUCGAGCCCCACAUCAGGCU
Felis catus (domestic cat) is the source of this 85-nucleotide transfer RNA. It matches the Rfam family "tRNA". From Rfam's summary of the family: Transfer RNA (tRNA) molecules are approximately 80 nucleotides in length. Their secondary structure includes four short double-helical elements and three loops (D, anti-codon, and T loops). The record is from Rfam. Lineage: Eukaryota; Metazoa; Chordata; Mammalia; Carnivora; Felidae.